Chenopodium quinoa (quinoa) is the source of this 3333-nucleotide long non-coding RNA. RefSeq lists it as uncharacterized. Lineage: Eukaryota; Viridiplantae; Streptophyta; Magnoliopsida; Caryophyllales; Amaranthaceae. The record is from RefSeq and is a predicted model, not a curated record. The transcript is spliced from 3 exons.
AAUUUUGCUUUAAUUUCUCUGAUUUGCGCAUGUGUAAUUGCGAUAACUAUAGUAAUUUGCGUGCAAGAUUGCUGUGUUAUGGUGAGAUUAGGUUAAUUUGAUGCUAAAUUUAGUAGCUUUAGUUGAAUUGAUUUACUUGUUAAUUGAGCAAUUACGCGAAGUGAAGUUAGGGUAGAUUGAUUGUGAUUUUUUAGGGGUUGAUUGUUUGUGAUUAUGUGAAUUGUUUUGGUUGAUUAGAUGGAUAGAUGUGAUAAUUGCGGUUGAUUUUUAGGUGUUGAUUGUUUGCAAUUAUGUGUUUGAUAUGUAGGUAACAUGUCUACCUUUUUUGAUAAUUUUACCAUUCAGUUCUGGCAUGGGGGAAAAUUCAAAAUUGUUGGAAAUGGGGAGUUGGUUUACUAUGGUGGUAUGGGUAGGAAUUUAUUUGUGGACCCUAAUAUACUAUAUUAUUGGGAGUUACUUGAAUUUGCAGAGAAGUGUGGGUAUGCGUGUGUGGUUGGGAUGUUUUAUCUAAUCUUAGGAAUGAGUCUGCAAGAUGGUAUUAGGAGAAUAGAGGGUAUACAAAAGUGUUGGAGUUGAUAGAGUUAACUAAAAAAUUGAGGGCUCUUGAAAUUUACUUAUUGCAUCAUGAGGAGGGCCCUAUUUUGACAUGUAAAGAUGCUGAUUCUGAGAGUGAAGGGAGGGAAGAAGUAGUGCUUGAUAAAGGUGUUGAAAAUCACCUCAGAUUGACCUCCAACAUGUUGAGAACACAUCACACAUUGAAGACCUCACACAAUCAGAAACUCAACCAGUCAAUAAACCAAAAAGUAAUGUUAGAAAAAAAUGACCCAAGAAAGGGACCACCCACAAAAAUCAUGCAAGCCAUUAGGAAAAGUCCUAGAAUAAAACAAAAACAAGCCUCCACAUCAAGUGCAAAUAAUGCUUCCACAUCAGCACAAGUUGCUUUAAGUGACCCAACUACCACAACUACCAAGGUCAAAACAAGCACUUAUAGGAUUCCCUCAUCCUCUUUGACAGAUGUAACUACCACACUUAAACCCUUAAAACCUGAUCUGCUUGUCAAACCAAGUGAGCUCCCCAUUCCAAAACCACCUCCGUGCCUGAAAAAACCACUUCUUUGCCUAACACAGAAACUGUUGUAAAUGAGGAGUAUGACUGGAGGAUAACAGGGGUGACAGUCCUUUGAGAUGGAGUGAGGUUAUAGGUUACAGUGAUUAUAGUGAUAACAGUGAUCCUGAAUAUGAGCCAGAGUUUGAAGGAGAUGAGGAUGUAGAUGUGGGGGGAGAACCAGCGGGGGAGAAUGAUGGCAGAUUAAGUGAUGUAGAUAUUGAAACUGAAGCAAAUGAGGUGAGUGAACAAGCUGAAGGGACUGAUUUCAUUGUUAAUAAGUCUGAUGAAAGUGAUGAGGAUUUAGGGAGCAAGAGAGAGGGUGAAGACAGUGAACCAUAAGUGUAUUGAGAUAGCUCAACAACUUCAGAAGGAAGCUAGUGAAGGGAGGUUAGGGUUGCAAACAAAACAUAAAAAACCACCCACUGUAGUUGCCACAGCUGCAGAAGUAGGUCAGGCAAGUGACUAUGAGGACAGUGAUGAGGAGGCUCACUCACCAAUUUAGAGUGGAGAUGAAGCAUAAGGAAGUGGUAGAGUGAAGAAGGGUGUGUUAGUUAGAGGUGAUACUGACUUUUCCUCAUUUGUUUGGAAAGUAGGGCAGAGGUUUGCCAACAGAUCUGAGUUUAGAGAAGUUGUUAGCAAAUAUGCAGUGAUGCAAGGUAGGGAUGUGAGGUAUGUGAUAAGUAAUAAGAAGAAAGAUUAAUUGGGUGUGAAGUGUGUUGGAGAGUGCCGUUUUUAUCUGUAUUGCUUAAUGCACACAAGAGACAAAACCUGGUUGGUGAAGACAGUGGUGGACUCUCAUACAUGCCAUAGAAGUAUGAAUAGAAACAGGCAAUUGAAAAGCACAUGGCUUGCUAGGCAGCAGCUGGAAGUCUUCAAAGAAAGGCCACAUUGGCCAGUAAAGGAAAUCAUAGAAACAGUUAGAAGAGCCUAUAGAGUAAUCAUCAAGAGAGACUUUGCAUACAAGGUUAAAUACCAUGCCCAUAAGUUGCUUCAUGGAAGUAUAAAGGACCAUUACAUGAAGAUUGAGAGAUAUGUACAAGCUCUGAAGAUUGCAAGUCCUAACACAACCUUGGAUAUGAUGGUAGAUGCAAGUCCAAAUUACUUAGUCCCAGUUUUCAAGAGAAUGUUUGUGUGCUUUGAUGGAGUGAAAGAGGAAUGGAAGGCAGGUUGUAGAAGAGUCAUUUGUGUUGAUACAGCUUUCUUGAAGACAUUUCUUGGGGGCCAAAUAAUGACAGCAGUGGGUAGAGAUCCUAAUAAUCAAAUGUACCCUAUUUCAUGGGCUGCAGUUGAAGGAGAGAACAACUUGUCUUGGGUUUGGUUCUUCACCCAUCUGUAAUCUUGUCUGGAAUUAGGAGAAGGAGCUGAUUUUGUUGUACUUUCUGAUGAACACAAGGAAAUACUUCAUGCAGUUGCUGUUGUGCUCCCAAAAGUAGAGCGUAGACACUGUGCAAGGCAUAUCUUUGCCUUCUGGCACAUAACAUACAAGGGUGAUGAGAUGAAGCUUCAAUUUUGAAAGAUUGCUAAGUGCUACAAUUAUGCACAGUACAAUGAAGCUUUGGAUGAGUUGAAUGAAUUAAACCCUGAGGCUGCACUUGCAUUCAGGAGGUUCCUGUUGGAGUUGGAGUGGUUUUUAGCUCAAAUGAAACUCCAUUGCUGCAGGGUACUACAAGCCUCUGCAUUGGAACUCAGUCAAGCCAAACUUCCACUCUUGAUACUCAUCAAACCUGAUUUGCUAUAGUGUGACCUGUGUUAUGAACAGCAGGGCCUUUUUUUUUGUUAAUACUUGCAGCAUCUAUCUGUAAUGAAUUAAUUAUGUUUAUGUUUAUGUUUUGGGUAAGAUAAUUUGUGGGUGGACAAGUCUUUUUCAUUAUCUAAUCAUGUGUACCUAGUCCAAACAAUUGGUACUCACUGAACAAUAUUUAUAGAUGACAUGUACUUCUUGUUGCUAAUUACAUAAUUAUCUUGUUUGGUAUACAAUAGAUAAUGAAAUCAUGCAUGUCAUUCAUUAAAAGUGAAAGAAAAAAACAAUGUAUUCUUCAAACACAACCCAUAAUUACUACAUUAAUAACAUAUUACAACUUGUUCAUAACAUCAAGUACUUGACAGACAAGAGUGUUGCAACAAAGAAGAUCCAUAAAAAUACUAGCACUAUAACCAAUUUUUUUUCAUUAAGCCUUCAUUAACUCAAUCCGGAUACAUAAUAUUUCACUCUUCAUCUCUUGUACA